CAGCAUAGGUUCUCCUUCACAGGCGGUUCUCUCUAGCCUGCUCUUCGGGAAAUGAUGGCUCCUGGGAGAGCGAACUUAACUGGAUGCGACGUGCAGUUUGCAAGAACACAUUCGUUUUCAGCAAAGUCCAGAACGGCUGGAGCAAGAAGCUGGAAGGAAGCAGACAAGUCAAGACAGGGAGGGAAACCUAACGCUCGAACAGUUGGGCACACACAAAACCAGCUGGAACAGGCUUUCGCCAUGCGUGUAAGGGCCAUGUAUUUGUCUGAGCCUGAAGGGAGCUAGAGCUGAACAGAAAGCAAGGUGAAGAAAACCAAACAAAUAAG
This 326-nucleotide long non-coding RNA is filed under the name Mus spicilegus (steppe mouse). RNAcentral's name for it is "lncRNA (ENSMSIG00000017214.1)". The record is from RNAcentral. Lineage: Eukaryota; Metazoa; Chordata; Mammalia; Rodentia; Muridae.